Molecule: ribosomal RNA, 205 nt
Filed under: uncultured Chlamydiales bacterium
Lineage: Bacteria; Pseudomonadati; Chlamydiota; Chlamydiia; Chlamydiales
Description: partial 16S ribosomal RNA
Rfam family: Bacterial small subunit ribosomal RNA
Source: RNAcentral
GCCAACACUGGGACUGAGAACUGCCCAGACUCCUACGGGAGGCUGCAGUCGAGAAUCUUUCGCAAUGGGCGCAAGCCUGACGAAGCGACGCCGUGUGAGUGACGAAGGUCUUUGGAUUGUAAAGCUCUUUCGCCCGGGAACAAGGGUYAGCGACGAAUAMUCGCUGAUUUUGAGCGUACCGGGUAAAGAAGCACCGGCUAACUCC